GAAGUGAGACAAGAUAGCCGCUGCCCCGAUGUUAUGUCGGGGUGGAGGAAAGUCCGGACUCCACAGGGCAGGGAGGUCGCUAACAGCGACCGCCCCGAUAUCAUAUCGGGGUAGGGAUAAGGGCCACAGAAAACAAACCGCCCCGAUGUUACGUUACAUAGGGGUAAGGGUGAAACGGUGGGGUAAGAGCCCACCAGCUCUGAUGGUGACAUCAGAGGCUAGGUAACCCCCUCCCGGAGCAAGACCAAAUAGGAAGACAUUUAAGGACGGCCCGUCCGUGUCUUCGGGUUGGUUGCUUGAGGUGCUGAGUAAUCAGCAUCCCAGAUGAAUGGCUAUCGCCCCAUCGGGAGACAGAAUCCGGCUUACAAUCUCACUUCAGCG
RNAcentral lists this RNase P RNA (381 nucleotides) under Deltaproteobacteria bacterium GWA2_43_19. Its description in RNAcentral is "RNase P RNA component class A". It matches the Rfam family "Bacterial RNase P class A". From Rfam's summary of the family: Ribonuclease P (RNase P) is a ubiquitous endoribonuclease, found in archaea, bacteria and eukarya as well as chloroplasts and mitochondria. Its best characterised activity is the generation of mature 5'-ends of tRNAs by cleaving the 5'-leader elements of precursor-tRNAs. Lineage: Bacteria; Deltaproteobacteria. The record is from RNAcentral. RNAcentral also lists the same sequence under 4 other names.